RNAcentral lists this long non-coding RNA (397 nucleotides) under Homo sapiens (human). Its description in RNAcentral is "non-protein coding lnc-C1D-15:1". Lineage: Eukaryota; Metazoa; Chordata; Mammalia; Primates; Hominidae. The record is from RNAcentral.
UGUGGAUGCCCAAGGUCAUCUCAGAGCCAAUUCCUCUGGGAUGCCUGUUCCCAGCUCCCUGCCAACCUAGCCUUCCUCCAGGGUGGAGCUUCCUUAUCUCUUAAGGCAGGAAGCAAAGGGAGUCACAGCCAUGGGUUUAGGAUUGAUAUUCCUGGCCAUACAUUUAUUAUAUAAACACAUUUAUAUAUAACUAUAUUUAUAAAUGUAUACAUGUGUAUAAAUAUAUAUGUAUAUAUACAUAUAUACAUGUAUAAAUAUAUAUGUAUAUAUACAUAUAUACAUGUAUAAAUAUAUAUGUAUAUAUACAUUUAUACAUGUAUAUAUAUUUGUGGCAGUUUUAUGAAAAAUGAAUCUCAAAUCCUUGAAUACCUGGUUUCUCCUUGUGGCCAUAAAUAAG